Molecule: long non-coding RNA, 103 nt
Organism: Melitaea cinxia (Glanville fritillary)
Lineage: Eukaryota; Metazoa; Arthropoda; Insecta; Lepidoptera; Nymphalidae
Exons: 3
Source: RefSeq, a predicted model, not a curated record
GGCUAUAUUAUUUACUACCGUAACCACACAGCAUAAUAAAUUAAUUAUGUUUAUAAAAUUACCCUCGUGUAUAUGUUUGUGUCGUGUCAAUGACCGAGUCACC